Molecule: ribosomal RNA, 73 nt
Filed under: Brevibacterium luteolum
Lineage: Bacteria; Bacillati; Actinomycetota; Actinomycetes; Micrococcales; Brevibacteriaceae
Description: partial 23S ribosomal RNA
Source: RNAcentral
UGUGAGUGUUCAAGAGCGCAUGGUGGAUGCCUUGGCAUCAGGAGCCGAUGAAGGACGUGGUAACCUGCGAUAA